CAGGGAGACAACAAAAUGCAAAUAUUAAUUUUGUCACCUUAGGUCGAUCGGUAUCUCAGAUUCUUAUUUUUAAGAAUUUCAGUUUCUAAUUUUUUUCUAGGUCACACCCAUCACUUUUUCCUGGGCCAUUAGCUCAGGUGGUUAGAGCGCACCCCUGAUAAGGGUGAGGUCCCUGGUUCAAGUCCAGGAUGGCCCAUAUCUCUAUGUUGGGGGUAUAGCUCAGUUGGUAGAGCGCCUGCUUUGCAAGCAGGAUGUCAGCGGUUCGAGUCCGCUUACCUCCACUGAAUACCACCUCUUACAUAUAUUUUAAAGAGGGAAAUUGUUUUGAGUCGUGUCCUAAUUUGCUCUGAGCGAAUCUAGCUUCCUAUUUUAUUCAAUAAAUAAGAUGCUGGAGUCAUUGAAUUUUUUUUCAUUGUUUUCAGAGAACCUUGACAACUGCAUAGAUUAUUUUUGAAGACAAUAAGCAUCUUUAAUGAUGCAGAUUUAUUAUUUGUGCGAAUGCAUUAAAUAACAAUUCUAUUAAGCUGAUGCUUCAAUUAUUGAAGUUAUU
Molecule: transfer RNA, 550 nt
Filed under: uncultured cyanobacterium
Lineage: Bacteria; Bacillati; Cyanobacteriota
Description: 16S-23S ribosomal RNA intergenic spacer
Rfam family: tRNA (bases 209-281)
Source: RNAcentral